UGCGUAGGUGGUUUCUUAAGUCAGAGAUGAAAGGCUACGGCUCAACCGUAGUAAGCCUUUGAAACUGGGAAACUUGAGUGCAGGAGAGGAGAGUGGAAUUCCUAGUGUAGCGGUGAAAUGCGUAGAUAUUAGGAGGAACACCAGUUGCGAAGGCGGCUUACUGGGCUUUUACUUGACGCUGAGGCUCGAAAGCGUGGGAGGCAAAACA
RNAcentral lists this ribosomal RNA (208 nucleotides) under uncultured bacterium. RNAcentral describes it as "partial 16S ribosomal RNA". It matches the Rfam family "Bacterial small subunit ribosomal RNA", at positions 568 to 775 of the family's 1533-position model. The record is from RNAcentral.